UACAGAGGUCUCAAGCGUUGUUCGGAUUCAUUGGGCGUAAAGGGUGUGUAGGUGGCGCCGUAAGUCGGGUGUGAAAUUUCGGAGCUUAACUCCGAAACUGCAUUCGAUACUGCGGUGCUUGAGGACUGGAGAGGAGACUGGAAUUCAUGGUGUAGCAGUGAAAUGCGUAGAUAUCAUGAGGAAGACCAGUGGCGAAGGCGGGUCUCUGGACAGUUCCUGACACUGAGACACGAAGGCCAGGGGAGCAAACGGG
Molecule: ribosomal RNA, 253 nt
Filed under: uncultured bacterium
Lineage: Bacteria
Description: partial 16S ribosomal RNA
Rfam family: Bacterial small subunit ribosomal RNA
Source: RNAcentral